Molecule: ribosomal RNA, 153 nt
Filed under: uncultured bacterium
Lineage: Bacteria
Description: partial 16S ribosomal RNA
Rfam family: Bacterial small subunit ribosomal RNA
Source: RNAcentral
UGAGGAAUAUUCCACAAUGGGCGAAAGCCUGAUGGAGCGACGCCGCGUGCGGGAAGAAGCCUUUCGGGGUGUAAACCGCUUUUCUCUGGGAUGACACGGUGGGGUAACCCACCUAGGACAGUACCAGAGGAAUAAGCAUCGGCUAACUACGUG